Molecule: non-coding RNA, 278 nt
Organism: Ciona savignyi (Pacific transparent sea squirt)
Lineage: Eukaryota; Metazoa; Chordata; Ascidiacea; Phlebobranchia; Cionidae
Source: Rfam
GGUGGGUAGAGCGUCUACUGCCCGUUAUACAGACAGUUUUGCUUUGCGUGUAUGCUUGGGUUGGAGGACGGUGUGAGAUUGGGAGCUCUGUGGCGCUCUGUCCGAUGUCGAUCGGGCGUCCGCGCUAAGCUCGAGUGGCCAGGUUGUCCAAGGAGGAACGCACCGGGCGAGGCCCGAAAGGGAGCAGCCAAAAGUUCCCACGUUGAUCAGUAGCGGGAUAGCGCCUGUGAAUAGGCGGAGCGUUGCAGCCCAGUCAAUAUCGCGGAACCCAAUCCUUU